Molecule: ribosomal RNA, 114 nt
Filed under: Acanthosepion pharaonis
Lineage: Eukaryota; Metazoa; Mollusca; Cephalopoda; Sepiida; Sepiidae
Source: RNAcentral
UUACGGCCACAUCACGUUGAAACAUUGGUUCCCGUACGAUAACCGAAGUUAAGCAACGUCGAAGCUUGUCAGUACCUAGAUGGGUGACCGCUUGGGAAUACCAGGUGCUGCAAU